GUGAGGAAUAUUGGACAAUGGAGGCAACUCUGAUCCAGCCAUGCCGCGUGCAGGAAGACUGCCCUAUGGGUUGUAAACUGCUUUUAUAUAGGAAGAAACCUUCUCACGUGUGAGAAAUUGACGGUACUAUAAGAAUAAGGACCGGCUAACUCCGUGCCAGCAGCCGCGGUAAUACGGAGGGUCCGAGCGUUAUCCGGAAUCAUUGGGUUUAAAGGGUCCGUAGGCGGGAAUCUAAGUCAGUGGUGAAAUCUUGCAGCUCAACUGUAAAAUUGCCAUUGAUACUGGAUUUCUUGAAUUAGUGUGAAGUGGUUAGAAUGUGUAGUGUAGCGGUGAAAUGCAUAGAUAUUACACAGAAUACCAAUUGCGAAGGCAGAUCACUAACACUAUAUUGACGCUGAGGGACGAAAGCGUGGGGAGCGAACAGG
RNAcentral lists this ribosomal RNA (425 nucleotides) under uncultured bacterium. RNAcentral describes it as "bacterial SSU rRNA". It matches the Rfam family "Bacterial small subunit ribosomal RNA", at positions 354 to 776 of the family's 1533-position model. The record is from RNAcentral.